GUAGUCCACGCCCUAAACGAUGUCGACUGGUUGUUGGGGGUUUGACACUCUCAGUAACGAAGCUAACGCGUGAAGUCGACCGCCUGGGGAGUACGGCCGCAAGGUUAAAACUCAAAGGAAUUGACGGGGACCCGCACAAGCGGUGGAUUAUGUGGAUUAAUUCGAUGCAACGCGAAAAACCUUACCUACCCUUGACAUGUCCGAGAGGCUCCAGAAAUGGGGCUGUGCCCGAAAGGGAAUCGGAACACAGGUGCUGCAUGGCUGUCGUCAGCUCGUGUCGUGAGAUGUUGGGUUAAGUCCCGCAACGAGCGCAACCCUUGUCAUUAGUUGCUACCCGCAAGGGAGCACUCUAAUGAGACUGCCGGUGACAAACCGGA
This 377-nucleotide ribosomal RNA is filed under the name uncultured bacterium. RNAcentral's name for it is "bacterial SSU rRNA". It matches the Rfam family "Bacterial small subunit ribosomal RNA", at positions 790 to 1167 of the family's 1533-position model. The record is from RNAcentral.